RNAcentral lists this ribosomal RNA (126 nucleotides) under Escherichia coli. RNAcentral describes it as "partial 16S ribosomal RNA". It matches the Rfam family "Bacterial small subunit ribosomal RNA", at positions 1408 to 1533 of the family's 1533-position model. The record is from RNAcentral. Lineage: Bacteria; Pseudomonadati; Pseudomonadota; Gammaproteobacteria; Enterobacterales; Enterobacteriaceae.
GAGUGUUUUGCAAAAGAAGUAGUUUGCUUAACCUUCGGGAGGGCGCUUACCUCUUUGUGAUUCAUGACUGGGGUGAAGUCGUAUCAAGGUAACCGUAGUGGAACCUUCGGUUGGAUCACCUCGUUA